Molecule: ribosomal RNA, 492 nt
Filed under: uncultured bacterium
Lineage: Bacteria
Description: partial 16S ribosomal RNA
Rfam family: Bacterial small subunit ribosomal RNA
Source: RNAcentral
AGUGAACGCUGGCGGUAGGCCUAACACAUGCAAGUCGAACGGCAGCACAGUAAGAGCUUGCUCUUACGGGUGGCGAGUGGCGGACGGGUGAGGAAUACAUCGGAAUCUACUUUUUCGUGGGGGAUAACGUAGGGAAACUUACGCUAAUACCGCAUACGACCUACGGGUGAAAGCAGGGGAUCUUCGGACCUUGCGCGAUUGAAUGAGCCGAUGUCGGAUUAGCUAGUUGGCGGGGUAAAGGCCCACCAAGGCGACGAUCCGUAGCUGGUCUGAGAGGAUGAUCAGCCAAAAUGGAACUGAGAAACGGUCCAGACUCCUACGGGAGGCAGCAGUGGGGAAUAUUGGACAAUGGGCGCAAGCCUGAUCCAGCCAUACCGCGUGGGUGAAGAAGGCCUUCGGGUUGUAAAGCCCUUUUGUUGGGAAAGAAAAGCAGCAGGUUAAUACCCCGCUGUUCUGACGGUACCCAAAGAAUAAGCACCGGCUAACUUCGUG